This is a long non-coding RNA of Panicum virgatum (switchgrass), 897 nucleotides long. RefSeq lists it as uncharacterized. The transcript has 2 exons. Lineage: Eukaryota; Viridiplantae; Streptophyta; Magnoliopsida; Poales; Poaceae. The record is from RefSeq and is a predicted model, not a curated record.
ACUAUGUAUUGGGAGCUCUUCUUAAAAAAAAGCUUUCCAAAAACAUAUCAAUCUACAGCAGAUUACUAAUAACAGGUCCCCCAAUAUUUCAAAACAGGACAUAUCAUUAUAAUUAGGCCCAUCAUUUUAAUUAGCCCAUUGGGCUGCUACCCUCACGCACAGCAGCUUCCCCUCUCCGGCUCUCCCUCCUCCGAUCUCCAUGGCUGCUUCCACCCCGAUGUCCAUCGCCGCCAGCAAGAAAGUCAUGCCUGUGCCUAGAAAAAUCAGUCCGUGCGAUCUCCAGCUCCAAUUGAGAUAGGUAAAAGUGUAAAACGGAUUUGCUAUGAGUCGUUGAAGCCUUUCCAUGCAACUGGUGAUGGAUUCGUCGUCAGAUGUGCCGCCCCUUGCGCCGCCGCCGCCGCCACCGCCUCCACCGGUCGGUGCCGCCGCCUCGACCCGUUGGUGCUGCCGCCCCUCGACCCGCCGGCGCCUUCAACCCUCCGGCGCUGUGUCCAUCGCCCCGCCGGCACCCCUUUGACCCGCCGCCACCGCCCCUCGCCCUGACGCCACUCCUGCGCGCGGGGGAAGGGGUCGUGUGGGAGGGGUCCUACUGCUCGCGCGCGGGAACCGAGAGGGCGAUUGGGGGCAACAGAACCUGUGAAAAUAUGCGCGGCGAGGCAUCAGGAAUUCGCGUCCCGAAAAUAAUGGGAAAGGAUUGAUUUCUUUUGGGGAGUUAAGAGGAUCAGGUGAUCAGCAAAACCGGCCUCCUUAUGAAAAGAUGCUCUGUUUUGCCUGCACUGAUGAACAGCUAGUAUCUCAGGCAUAUGUGUGUGUGACUGAACCUAAGCCCUUUUUGUGUACAUAUUUUGUGUUAUGCUAAGAAGUAUCACUGCAUGCCAAGACACUUUUUCGCUGAUA